RNAcentral lists this transfer RNA (74 nucleotides) under Candidatus Tagabacteria bacterium CG09_land_8_20_14_0_10_41_14. RNAcentral describes it as "tRNA-Pro". It matches the Rfam family "tRNA". From Rfam's summary of the family: Transfer RNA (tRNA) molecules are approximately 80 nucleotides in length. Their secondary structure includes four short double-helical elements and three loops (D, anti-codon, and T loops). The record is from RNAcentral. Lineage: Bacteria; Candidatus Tagaibacteriota. RNAcentral also lists the same sequence under 1 other name.
CGGGGUGUAGUAUAACGGUAUUACGCCGGCUUCGGGAGUCGGUAACCCGAGUUCAACUCUCGGCACCCCGACCA